This is a long non-coding RNA of Gavialis gangeticus (Gharial), 295 nucleotides long. RefSeq lists it as uncharacterized. NCBI's taxonomy places the organism in Eukaryota, Metazoa, Chordata, Crocodylia, Gavialidae. The record is from RefSeq and is a predicted model, not a curated record. The transcript is spliced from 2 exons.
GGCAUGCGCUGGGGGAGUGGGGGAAAGGAUAUGGGUUACAGACCAGCUUGAGGCACCAGCUGCGCGGCCGGGUGGUUUGCUUGAGGCAGAAGAAGACGGCGGGCGCCAGUGCCGGCCUUCUCUGUCUAAUCUACACAUGGUUAUAAGAAAAAGUAGGCCAAAUUCCUCCCUCAUUUACUCCGGAUAUACUCCCUGUGACAUCCUGGACUACACUGAGGUUACUCUAGAGUUGCAUCAGACUGCAGAAUCUGGCCUGCCAGUGGAGGUUAGCAAUCAAUACUGAAUCUAGGCUACA